RNAcentral lists this ribosomal RNA (258 nucleotides) under uncultured bacterium. RNAcentral describes it as "partial 16S ribosomal RNA". It matches the Rfam family "Bacterial small subunit ribosomal RNA", at positions 524 to 779 of the family's 1533-position model. The record is from RNAcentral.
UACGAAGGGGGCUAGCGUUGUUCGGAAUUACUGGGCGUAAAGGGCGCGUAGGCGGCGUGUCAAGUCAGGCGUGAAAGCCCCCGGGCUCAACCUGGGAACCGCGCUUGAGACUGGCAUGCUCGAGUUCGGGAGAGGAUGGUGGGAAUUCCCAGUGUAGAGGUGAAAUUCGUAGAUAUUGGGAAGAACACCGAUGGCGAAGGCAGCCAUCUGGACCGACACUGACGCUGAGGCGCGAAAGCCAGGGGAGCGAACGGGAUU